AAGUAGAUGUAGUGGUGAACCUUUUUUUUUUCGAUGAAGUCUUUGGCUCGUUGUUUCCGAAAAUGGAACUGACCUGAUGACCUGAUUUGUGUAGAGUCAGGAUAUGGGAGCAGAUGUCCGACAUGAUGUAAACGCAAACUUAGAGUCGAGGAAACGUGCGCCCUCCUCGAAGCCACCGUUCACCCUCGGCGAUGUAAAGCGCGCCAUCCCUCCUCACUGUUUCAAACGUUCCGUCCUGCGGUCCUUCUCAUACAUCCUAUACGAUGUCACAGCCAUUGCAGUUCUCUAUCAUGUCACUUCCUAUUACGCACUGCUACCUCUGCCCCUCAGGUACCUCGUCUGGCCACUGCACUGGUUCGUGCAGGGCUGCUUCAUGGUCGGCCUGUGGGUAGUAGCCCACGAGUGUGGUCACCACGCCUUUUCCGACUACGCAGCCCUCGACGACACCGUGGGCUUCAUCCUCCACUCUGCCUUGCUCGUACCCUACUUCUCGUGGAAGUUCUCCCACGCCCGGCACCACUCCAACACAGCCUCCUUGGAGCGCGACGAGGUCUUCGUGCCGAAAAAACGCCUCGACGUGAGCUGGUGGGACCGGGUGACCGACAACCCUCCCGGUCGUAUACUCCGAUUGACCUUGACCUUACUCCUCGGCCUAACCAUGUACCUGACCUUCAACUCAGCCGGACGCCCUUACGAGCGCUUCGCAUCCCACUUCCACCCGGACAGCCCGAUUUACUCGCGAUCCAAACGCAUUUGGAUAUUCCUCUCGGAUGUUGGUAUUGCGGUGGUAUGUUACGGAUUGUACCAUCUGGCGCUAUCGCGAGGGAUUGCAUGGUUAGCGUGCUAUUACUUCUGCCCUCUCGCAGUGACCAACGCGUUUGUUGUUACCGUGACCUUGUUGCAACAUACUCACCCCUCACUACCGCAUUACUCGUCCGCUGAAUGGGAUUGGUUGCGCGGAGCCUUGUCGACAGUUGACAGAGAUUAUGGUGUCCUCAACCAUAUUUUCCACCAUAUCAAUGACACGCAUAUUGCACACCAUUUGUUUUCGACUAUGCCACACUACCACGCCCAAGAGGCGACGGCGGCCAUAAAGCCUGUGUUGGGGGAAUAUUAUCAGUUUGAUGAUACGCCGGUGUUGAAAUCCCUGUACAGGGAGAUGAAAGAGUGCGUGUUCGUGGAGCCUGAAGGGGAAAAGCUAGGAGUGUACUGGUUCAAUGGUGUGUUGUGA
Molecule: long non-coding RNA, 1231 nt
Filed under: Bemisia tabaci
Lineage: Eukaryota; Metazoa; Arthropoda; Insecta; Hemiptera; Aleyrodidae
Description: lncRNA ENSSWEETPG012266
Source: RNAcentral